Molecule: transfer RNA, 75 nt
Filed under: Planctomycetia bacterium
Lineage: Bacteria; Pseudomonadati; Planctomycetota; Planctomycetia
Description: tRNA-Cys
Rfam family: tRNA
About the family: Transfer RNA (tRNA) molecules are approximately 80 nucleotides in length.
Source: RNAcentral
GGCCCCUUGGCCAAGUGGUAAGGCAGCGGAUUGCAAAUCCGCUAUUCCCCGGUUCGAAUCCGGGAGGGGCCUCUA